This 489-nucleotide ribosomal RNA is filed under the name Malassezia restricta. Its description in RNAcentral is "partial large subunit ribosomal RNA". It matches the Rfam family "Eukaryotic large subunit ribosomal RNA", at positions 118 to 611 of the family's 3401-position model. The record is from RNAcentral. Lineage: Eukaryota; Fungi; Basidiomycota; Malasseziomycetes; Malasseziales; Malasseziaceae.
GAAGCUGGCGUCUUCGGCGUCCGCGUUGUAAUCUCGAGACGUGUUUUCCGUGCGGCUCUAUGGACAAGUCCCUUGGAACAGGGCAUCGUAGAGGGUGAAAAUCCCGUACUUGCCAUGGAAGUACCGUGCUUUGUGAUACACGUUCCAAGAGUCGAGUAGUUUGGGAUUGCUGCUCAAAGUGGGUGGUAGACUCCAUCUAAAGCUAAAUAUCGGGGAGAGACCGAUAGCGAACAAGUACCGUGAGGGAAAGAUGAAAAGCACUUUGGAAAGAGAGUUAAAAGUACGUGAAAUUGUCGAAAGGGAAGCACUUGAAGUCAGCCAUGCUGCUUGAGACUCAGCCUGGCUUUUGCUUGGUGUAUUUCUCGGUAGCAAGCCAGCAUUGGUUUGUGUCGUCGGAGAAGCGUAUGGGGAAUGUGGCAUCCUCGGAUGUGUUAUAGCCCUGUGCUGGAUACGACGACGCAGACCAAGGAACGCAGUGUGCCCUCUGGG